UCCCUGUGGUUCAGGUGGUGAAGAAUCUGCCUGCAAUGCAGGAGACCUGGGUUCAAUCCCUGGAUUGGGAA
Bos taurus (domestic cattle) is the source of this 71-nucleotide non-coding RNA. The record is from Rfam. NCBI's taxonomy places the organism in Eukaryota, Metazoa, Chordata, Mammalia, Artiodactyla, Bovidae.